GCGCCCAUAGCUCAGCUGGAUAGAGCAUCGGCCUUCUAAGCCGAGGGUCCCAGGUUCGAGCCCUGGUGGGCGCG
This 74-nucleotide transfer RNA is filed under the name Nannocystis sp. Its description in RNAcentral is "tRNA-Arg". It matches the Rfam family "tRNA". From Rfam's summary of the family: Transfer RNA (tRNA) molecules are approximately 80 nucleotides in length. Their secondary structure includes four short double-helical elements and three loops (D, anti-codon, and T loops). Lineage: Bacteria; Pseudomonadati; Myxococcota; Nannocystales; Nannocystaceae. The record is from RNAcentral. RNAcentral also lists the same sequence under 2 other names.